RNAcentral lists this ribosomal RNA (646 nucleotides) under Salmonella enterica subsp. enterica serovar 4,[5],12:i:-. Its description in RNAcentral is "partial 23S ribosomal RNA". It matches the Rfam family "Bacterial large subunit ribosomal RNA", at positions 1 to 594 of the family's 2925-position model. The record is from RNAcentral. Lineage: Bacteria; Pseudomonadati; Pseudomonadota; Gammaproteobacteria; Enterobacterales; Enterobacteriaceae.
GGGUUGUGAGGUUAAGCGACUAAGCGUACACGGUGGAUGCCCUGGCAGUCAGAGGCGAUGAAGGGCGUGCUAAUCUGCGAUAAGCGCCGGUAAGGUGAUAUGAACCGUUAUAACCGGCGAUACCCGAAUGGGGAAACCCAGUGUGACUCGUCACACUAUCAUUAACUGAAUCCAUAGGUUAAUGAGGCGAACCGGGGGAACUGAAACAUCUAAGUACCCCGAGGAAAAGAAAUCAACCGAGAUUCCCCCAGUAGCGGCGAGCGAACGGGGAGGAGCCCAGAGCCUGAAUCAGCAUGUGUGUUAGUGGAAGCGUCUGGAAAGGCGCGCUAUACAGGGUGACAGCCCCGUACACAAAAGCGCAUGUGCUGUGAGCUCGAUGAGUAGGGCGGGACACGUGGUAUCCUGUCUGAAUAUGGGGGGACCAUCCUCCAAGGCUAAAUACUCCUGACUGACCGAUAGUGAACCAGUACCGUGAGGGAAAGGCGAAAAGAACCCCGGCGAGGGGAGUGAAAAAGAACCUGAAACCGUGUACGUACAAGCAGUGGGAGCCCCACCACCAAAGCAUUCUCUGGUGUUGAAGGCCCUGCAAAGCAGCAUCGCGGUGGCGGAGCGUCGUUUGCGACGCCCAACACACAAAACAAGCGGU